RNAcentral lists this ribosomal RNA (355 nucleotides) under uncultured bacterium. Its description in RNAcentral is "bacterial SSU rRNA". It matches the Rfam family "Bacterial small subunit ribosomal RNA", at positions 527 to 881 of the family's 1533-position model. The record is from RNAcentral.
GUAUGGUGCAAGCGUUAUCCGGAUUUACUGGGUGUAAAGGGAGCGUAGACGGCUGUGUAAGUCUGAAGUGAAAGCCCGGGGCUCAACCCCGGGACUGCUUUGGAAACUAUGCAGCUAGAGUGUCGGAGAGGUAAGCGGAAUUCCUAGUGUAGCGGUGAAAUGCGUAGAUAUUAGGAGGAACACCAGUGGCGAAGGCGGCCUGCUGGACGACAACUGACGCUGAGGCGCGAAAGCGUGGGGAGCAAACAGGAUUAGAUACCCUGGUAGUCCACGCUGUAAACGAUGAAUACUAGGUGUGGGGGGACUGACCCCUUCCGUGCCGCAGUUAACACAAUAAGCAUCCCACCUGGGGAGU